RNAcentral lists this transfer RNA (75 nucleotides) under Brachirus orientalis (oriental sole). Its description in RNAcentral is "tRNA-Trp". It matches the Rfam family "tRNA". From Rfam's summary of the family: Transfer RNA (tRNA) molecules are approximately 80 nucleotides in length. Their secondary structure includes four short double-helical elements and three loops (D, anti-codon, and T loops). Lineage: Eukaryota; Metazoa; Chordata; Actinopteri; Pleuronectiformes; Soleidae. The record is from RNAcentral.
AGGGACUUAGGAUAAUAUUAUUAAACCAAGGGCCUUCAAAGCCCUAAAUGGGAGUGGAAGACCUCCCAGUCUCUG